GGGCAACGCCGCCGUCGGCGUCCGCGGCACUGACACUAUUGUCCUCGGCGUCGAGAAGAAAUCCGCCCCAAAACUCCAAGAUUCUAGAUCUGUGCGGAAAAUCGUCAAUCUGGACACGCAUAUUGCUCUCGCCUGCGCAGGGCUUAAGGCCGACGCCCGCGUGCUGAUCAACAAAGCGCGGAUCGAGUGCCAGAGCCACCGGCUCACUGUCGAGGAUCCGGUGACCGUCGAGUAUAUCACUCGAUUCAUCGCUGGACUGCAGCAGAAGUAUACACAGAGCGGUGGGGUUCGGCCGUUUGGGCUAUCGACACUCAUCAUCGGGUUCGAUCCCUACAGCGGGACUCCGGCACUUUACCAGACCGAUCCGUCGGGUACGUUCUCGGCGUGGAAGGCCAAUGCCACGGGGAGGAACUCGAAUUCGAUGAGGGAGUUUCUUGAGAAGAAUUACAAGGAGACUUCCGGACAGGACACUGUGAAGCUUGCGAUUCGUGCUCUUCUUGAGGUGGUUGAGAGUGGUGGGAAGAACAUUGAAAUUGCAGUUAUGACAAAAGAGGGCCUUAGGGAGCUUGAUGAAGCUGAGAUCGACGCAAUAGUUGCAGACAUAGAGGCUGAGAAAGCUGCGGCUGAGGCAGCAAAGAAGCCCGCCCCCAGAGAUGGUUGAUUCCUGAUGUUGCUAUCUGUUAUUUGGAGAGUUUCUG
RNAcentral lists this unclassified non-coding RNA (698 nucleotides) under Hevea brasiliensis (rubber tree). Lineage: Eukaryota; Viridiplantae; Streptophyta; Magnoliopsida; Malpighiales; Euphorbiaceae. The record is from RNAcentral.